ACACCUUCAAUAGUUACCAGCAAGACAUUUCCAGGAAUAUCUCCAGGGCUUUUGUUGUUGACAAUUUCAUGUCUAUUAGAAUACUGAAUGUAAACAGUUUUACCACGAACCAUAGCUGGUUCUGAAGAUGAAGCAUAAUAUGAAACCAUCGAAAUGGCUUGAUUUAGAUCCACCUGGUAAAGCAUGUAUACUUGAGAGUUAAAAAAUCAUAAAAAAAGGA
This 220-nucleotide unclassified non-coding RNA is filed under the name uncultured bacterium. RNAcentral describes it as "contains 16S-23S intergenic spacer region". The record is from RNAcentral.